GAUGAACGCUGGCGGCGUGCUUAACACAUGCAAGUCGAACGAUGAAGCCCAGCUUGCUGGGUGGAUUAGUGGCGAACGGGUGAGUAACACGUGAGUAACCUGCCCUUAACUCUGGGAUAAGCCUGGGAAACUGGGUCUAAUACCGGAUAGGAGCGUCCACCGCAUGGUGGGUGUUGGAAAGAUUUAUCGGUUUUGGAUGGACUCGCGGCCUAUCAGCUUGUUGGUGAGGUAAUGGCUCACCAAGGCGACGACGGGUAGCCGGCCUGAGAGGGUGACCGGCCACCCUGGGACUGAGAACCGGCCCCGACUCCUACGGGAGGCAGCCGUGGGGAAUAUUGCACCAUGGGCGCAAGCCUGAUGCAGCGACGCCGCGUGGGGGAUGACGGCCUUCGGGUUGUAAACCUCUUUCAGUAGGGAAGAAGCGAAAGUGACGGUACCUGCAGAAGAAGCACCGGCUAACUACGUG
RNAcentral lists this ribosomal RNA (466 nucleotides) under uncultured bacterium. RNAcentral's name for it is "partial 16S ribosomal RNA". It matches the Rfam family "Bacterial small subunit ribosomal RNA", at positions 28 to 507 of the family's 1533-position model. The record is from RNAcentral.